AACCUCAAGCCCAUCUUUCUCACCCUUCAGCUGCUCAUUCUUCUCAAGCAGACUAACACGGACGUGCUGCAGCUCAUCCAUUCCCUUCAAAGCAACAAGCUCAUAAUCCAACCUCUUGAUCUCCUCGGCUGAGGAAUAAGCUUCAGCUGCCAUAAUCUUCGCCACCUCCUUGACAGCCUUGCUAUAUAUGCAUCAUAGCAAGCAGAGCAGUCCUUCUAUAUUAGGUC
Molecule: long non-coding RNA, 227 nt
Filed under: Malus domestica (apple)
Lineage: Eukaryota; Viridiplantae; Streptophyta; Magnoliopsida; Rosales; Rosaceae
Description: long non-coding RNA (MDOM_LNC012195)
Source: RNAcentral